This 76-nucleotide transfer RNA is filed under the name Mycobacterium phage Thyatira. RNAcentral describes it as "tRNA-Trp". It matches the Rfam family "tRNA". Rfam says of the family: Transfer RNA (tRNA) molecules are approximately 80 nucleotides in length. Their secondary structure includes four short double-helical elements and three loops (D, anti-codon, and T loops). Further hydrogen bonds mediate the characteristic L-shaped molecular structure. tRNAs have two regions of fundamental functional importance: the anti-codon, which is responsible for specific mRNA codon recognition, and the 3' end, to which the tRNAs corresponding amino acid is attached (by aminoacyl-tRNA synthetases). tRNAs cope with the degeneracy of the genetic code in two manners: having more than one tRNA (with a specific anti-codon) for a particular amino acid; and 'wobble' base-pairing, i.e. permitting non-standard base-pairing at the 3rd anti-codon position. The record is from RNAcentral. Lineage: Duplodnaviria; Heunggongvirae; Uroviricota; Caudoviricetes.
UCGCAGGUAACUCAAUUGGUAGAGCAGCGGUCUCCAAAACCGCCGGUUGCAGGUUCGAGUCCUGCUCUGCGGGCCA